RNAcentral lists this transfer RNA (87 nucleotides) under Nitrospinota bacterium. RNAcentral describes it as "tRNA-Leu". It matches the Rfam family "tRNA". From Rfam's summary of the family: Transfer RNA (tRNA) molecules are approximately 80 nucleotides in length. Their secondary structure includes four short double-helical elements and three loops (D, anti-codon, and T loops). Further hydrogen bonds mediate the characteristic L-shaped molecular structure. tRNAs have two regions of fundamental functional importance: the anti-codon, which is responsible for specific mRNA codon recognition, and the 3' end, to which the tRNAs corresponding amino acid is attached (by aminoacyl-tRNA synthetases). tRNAs cope with the degeneracy of the genetic code in two manners: having more than one tRNA (with a specific anti-codon) for a particular amino acid; and 'wobble' base-pairing, i.e. permitting non-standard base-pairing at the 3rd anti-codon position. The record is from RNAcentral. Lineage: Bacteria; Pseudomonadati; Nitrospinota.
GCCGAAGUGGCGGAAUUGGUAGACGCGCAUGAUUCAGGUUCAUGUCUCAGCAAUGGGGUGGAGGUUCGAGUCCUCUUUUCGGCACCA